UACGUAGGGGGCAAGCGUUGUCCGGAAUCAUUGGGCGUAAAGAGCGUGUAGGCGGCCCGAUAAGUCCGCCGUGAAAGUCCAGGGCUCAACCCUGGGAUGCCGGUCGAUACUGCCGGACUAGAGUUCGGAAGAGGCGAGUGGAAUUCCCGGUGUAGCGGUGAAAUGCGCAGAUAUCGGGAGGAACACCUAUGGCGAAGGCAGCUCGCUGGGACGUUACUGACGCUGAGACGCGAAAGCGUGGGGAGCAAACAGG
This 253-nucleotide ribosomal RNA is filed under the name uncultured bacterium. RNAcentral describes it as "partial 16S ribosomal RNA". It matches the Rfam family "Bacterial small subunit ribosomal RNA", at positions 524 to 776 of the family's 1533-position model. The record is from RNAcentral.